This 478-nucleotide ribosomal RNA is filed under the name uncultured bacterium. RNAcentral's name for it is "SSU rRNA". It matches the Rfam family "Bacterial small subunit ribosomal RNA", at positions 26 to 518 of the family's 1533-position model. The record is from RNAcentral.
AGAACGAACGCUGGCGGCAUGCCUAACACAUGCAAGUCGAACGCUUCCGGGGCUUCGGUCGCGGAGGAGUGGCGCACGGGUGAGUAGCGCGUGGGAACCUGCCCUGUUGUGGGGGAUAACCGAGGGAAACUUCGGCUAAUACCGCAUACGCCCCGGGACUUGGUCUUCGGAUUAGGUCUGGGGGGAAAGAUUGAUCGCAGCAGGAGGGGCCCGCGUCGGAUUAGCUGGUUGGUGGGGUAACGGCUCACCAAGGCGAUGAUCCGUAGCUGGUCUGAGAGGAUGAUCAGCCACACUGGGACUGAGACACGGCCCAGACUCCUACGGGAGGCAGCAGUGGGGAAUAUUGGACAAUGGGGGCAACCCUGAUCCAGCAAUGCCGCGUGAGUGAUGAAGGCCUUAGGGUUGUAAAGCUCUUUCGCCCGCGACGAUGAUGACGGUAGCGGGAGAAGAGCCCGGCUAACUUCGUGCCAGCAGCCGC